GGGCGUAUAGCUCAGUUGGUUAGAGUGUUGGACGUUUAGUCCGAGGGUCUUGGGUUCAACUCCCAAUACGCCCA
RNAcentral lists this transfer RNA (74 nucleotides) under Saccharina japonica x Saccharina longissima. RNAcentral's name for it is "tRNA-Lys". It matches the Rfam family "tRNA". From Rfam's summary of the family: Transfer RNA (tRNA) molecules are approximately 80 nucleotides in length. Lineage: Eukaryota; Phaeophyceae; Laminariales; Laminariaceae. The record is from RNAcentral.